GCUUAAGAGAAUAAUUUACCUUCUAGAAAGAUGAGACCUUGGAUUACUAUCUUAGUACUUGUGGUAACAGUGACUUUUGCUCAUGGAUGGCUUUCGAGUUCUCAAGGCUAAAUACCGCCAUUGUAAUUGCAAAGCAUACGACGCCAGCAGCCGUGAAUUAAUCAAGGAUUUUGGUGUAGUAUCGUCAUGUAAAGGCUGGCCAAAAUGUGCUUGCAGACGUGCGGAAAUGAUGAACUGUGCUGACACCUGUGAUCACGUGGUAGCUCAGUGGGUGUGUAAUCACGAGACAGAGUGCAAAGCUAGGAGUGACCGGAUAAAGAAAUACUACGAUGCUGGAGGAUGUAGCAGGGGAUUCGGCCAUGAGAGUAGAAAAUGUGGUGAGUGCAGUACACUCGGAUAAUUUCUAAAGAAUAAAACUAAUGAAAAA
Mytilus trossulus (common blue mussel) is the source of this 427-nucleotide long non-coding RNA. RefSeq lists it as uncharacterized. The record is from RefSeq and is a predicted model, not a curated record. Lineage: Eukaryota; Metazoa; Mollusca; Bivalvia; Mytilida; Mytilidae. The transcript is spliced from 3 exons.